Molecule: ribosomal RNA, 431 nt
Filed under: uncultured bacterium
Lineage: Bacteria
Description: bacterial SSU rRNA
Rfam family: Bacterial small subunit ribosomal RNA
Source: RNAcentral
AACGAACGCUGGCGGCAGCCUUAACACAUGCAAGUCGAGCGCGCCUUCGGGUGAGCGGCGGACGGGUUAGUAACGCGUGGGAACGUGCCCUUCUCUACGGAAUAGCCUCUGGAAACGGAGAGUAAUACCGUAUACGCCCUUUGGGGGAAAGAUUUAUCGGAGAAGGAUCGGCCCGCGUUAGAUUAGGUAGUUGGUGGGGUAACGGCCUACCAAGCCUACGAUCUAUAGCUGGUUUUAGAGGAUGAUCAGCAACACUGGGACUGAGACACGGCCCAGACUCCUACGGGAGGCAGCAGUGGGGAAUCUUAGACAAUGGGGGCAACCCUGAUCUAGCCAUGCCGCGUGAGUGAUGAAGGCCUUAGGGUCGUAAAGCUCUUUCGCCUGUGAUGAUAAUGACAGUAGCAGGUAAAGAAACCCCGGCUAACUCCGUG